RNAcentral lists this ribosomal RNA (301 nucleotides) under uncultured Chlamydia sp. RNAcentral describes it as "bacterial SSU rRNA". It matches the Rfam family "Bacterial small subunit ribosomal RNA", at positions 496 to 795 of the family's 1533-position model. The record is from RNAcentral. Lineage: Bacteria; Pseudomonadati; Chlamydiota; Chlamydiia; Chlamydiales; Chlamydiaceae.
CUAAAGUGUAGGCCGGUAUCCGCGGUGAUAUGUAGGGGGGAAUCGUUGUCGUGAGUCAUUGGGUGUAAAGAGCUCGUAGGGGGUUCGGUAAGUGGGUGGGGAACUCUCCGUGCGCAACACGGAGCGGCCACCUGGUACUGCUGUGACUAGAGUCCGGUAGGGGAGUGUGGAAUUCCCGGUGUAGCGGUGAAAUGCGCAGAUAUCGGGAGGAACACCAGUAGCGAAGGCGGCACUCUGGGCCGUGACUGACGCUGAGGAGCGAAAGCGUGGGUAGCAAACAGGAUUAGAUACCCGAGUAGUC